This 251-nucleotide ribosomal RNA is filed under the name uncultured bacterium. RNAcentral describes it as "partial 16S ribosomal RNA". It matches the Rfam family "Bacterial small subunit ribosomal RNA", at positions 57 to 305 of the family's 1533-position model. The record is from RNAcentral.
GCAAGUCGAACGCGAACGAUUUCUCUUUAGAAAUUUAGUAGAGUGGCGCACGGGUGAGUAACGCGUAAGUAAUCUACCUAGGCAUCUGGGAUAACAAUUCGAAAGGAUUGCUAAUACCGGAUACGUUGGAGACAAGAAAGGUGGCCUCUGAUUCAAGCUACUGUGCGGGGAGGAGCUUGCGUACCAUUAGCUAGUUGGUAGGGUAACGGCCUACCAAGGCGACGAUGGUUAGCGGGUCUGAGAGGAUGAUC